UAUGUCCAUUGCAGUUGCAUAC
RNAcentral lists this microRNA (22 nucleotides) under Physcomitrium patens. RNAcentral describes it as "ppt-miR534a". Its record names the gene ppt-miR534a. The record is from miRBase by way of RNAcentral. Lineage: Eukaryota; Viridiplantae; Streptophyta; Bryopsida; Funariales; Funariaceae.